UACGUAGGGGGCGAGCGUUGUCCGGAAUCAUUGGGCGUAAAGCGCGUGUAGGCGGCCCGGUAAGUCCGCUGUGAAAGUCCCAGGGCUCAACCCUGGGAUGCCGGUGGAUACUGUCGGGCUCGAGUCCGGAAGAGGCGAGUGGAAUUCCUGGUGUAGCGGUGAAAUGCGCAGAUAUCAGGAGGAACACCAAUGGCGAAGGCAGCUCGCUGGGACGUGACUGACGCUGAGACGCGAAAGCGUGGGGAGCAAACAGGA
RNAcentral lists this ribosomal RNA (255 nucleotides) under uncultured bacterium. Its description in RNAcentral is "partial 16S ribosomal RNA". It matches the Rfam family "Bacterial small subunit ribosomal RNA", at positions 524 to 777 of the family's 1533-position model. The record is from RNAcentral.